Long non-coding RNA from Saccostrea cuccullata (small rock oyster), 1143 nucleotides. RefSeq lists it as uncharacterized. NCBI's taxonomy places the organism in Eukaryota, Metazoa, Mollusca, Bivalvia, Ostreida, Ostreidae. The transcript has 3 exons. The record is from RefSeq and is a predicted model, not a curated record.
UGUUUUUAUGGCUUAUAGAAUGAUGCAUUCGGCAACUUGAGUUCAGUGUCACAGUGCUGUUUUUUUUUUCAGUCCAAAGAGCCCGAAGCUGAUAAGACUGGCGAUUGAUCCUGAAGCUGAUUUGACAGACGAUUGCAUCAUCACAAUAUUGAAGGUUCAAUAUACAGUCAGCCUCUCAUAAGAUAAAGAACAAAUCCCAAGAUCCAAGGCUUGCUUCAAAGUUAAGAGACCAUUCUGUGCCACAAAGAAAUUGUUCAGGAAGAGGAGAAGUGGUGGAUAUUCAUUUUUGGUACGGUACAGUUCAAAGAGAUUUUCAAAAUGGUCAUGGAAGAUCAAAGGGAGGACAACUGAAAAAAAUGAAAGAUACAGAAGGAAAAAGAACAAGGAAAUAUAUGGAAUAAUUAUGAAAUGGGGAGGAUGUACACAAUCUUGUCUGAAUUUGAGCUGUGAAAAUUUCCCAUAUUCUUAUUGUAUGCUGGAAUAAUCAAUAACUUGAUUUUUCAUAAAUUUACAAUAGAGAAUACAUGACAAAUGUUAUUGCUGAUAUUUCAAUUUUGCUUUGGACACUUUCAUGUCAUAUGGUAUUUUUAUACAUGAACUAAUUAUGUUAUUCAUUUGUACAUGUACAGUAUACAUGUUUAACUACUAAAUCAUUUUGCUGAAAUCUUAUAAUUUGUACUCAUGUUAGAAUAUGUUAAAUACAUGUAUCGACAAAUGCUACUGACUUGUUUGUAUAUUUUCUUGUUUAGAAUGUACACUGUGAAAAAUAAGUUAUUUCUCUUGAUGAAAAUAAUUUUAUCAAAAAAGUUGUGUAAGCAUUUUAAGAUAUUUUAAAAUAUUUAACCAAUGAAGAUAGAUCAUUGUAAUGUAAUGAAUUUUCAUCUAAAGCAGAAAUAUCUGAUUUUUAAAUGUGUACAAGAAUGUGAAAAAUAUUGAAAAAGAACACACAUGUGUUUCAUAUGAUUUACAUAUGAUGUCCUUUUCAUAUGAUUCUCAUAUGUAAAUGGCUUGAAACACACUUAAAUCAUUCAUAUGAAAAUCAUAUGUAGUUAUUUUCAUAUGAUUCACAUAUGUGGAUCAUAUGUAAAUCAUAUGAUUUGCUUCAUAUGAUUCACAUAUGAUGCCCUUUUUCUAUGAUUCUCA